UGGGGAAUAUUGGACAAUGGGCGAAAGCCUGAUCCAGCCAUGCCGCGUGUGUGAAGAAGGUCUUCGGAUUGUAAAGCACUUUAAGUUGGGAGGAAGGGCAGUAAGCGAAUACCUUGCUGUUUUGACGUUACCGACAGAAUAAGCACCGGCUAACUCUGUGCCAGCAGCCGCGGUAAUACAGAGGGUGCGAGCGUUAAUCGGAUUUACUGGGCGUAAAGCGUGCGUAGGCGGCUAAUUGAGUCGGAUGUGAAAUCCCCGAGCUUAACUUGGGAAUUGCAUUCGAUACUGGUUAGCUAGAGUGUGGGAGAGGAUGGUAGAAUUCCAGGUGUAGCGGUGAAAUGCGUAGAGAUCUGGAGGAAUACCGAUGGCGAAGGCAGACAUCUGGCCUAACACUGACGCUGAGGUACGAAAGCAUGGGGAGCAAACAGG
RNAcentral lists this ribosomal RNA (429 nucleotides) under Pseudomonadota bacterium. RNAcentral describes it as "Proteobacteria bacterium partial 16S ribosomal RNA". It matches the Rfam family "Bacterial small subunit ribosomal RNA", at positions 355 to 776 of the family's 1533-position model. Lineage: Bacteria; Pseudomonadati; Pseudomonadota. The record is from RNAcentral.